RNAcentral lists this ribosomal RNA (497 nucleotides) under uncultured bacterium. RNAcentral's name for it is "partial 16S ribosomal RNA". It matches the Rfam family "Bacterial small subunit ribosomal RNA", at positions 28 to 507 of the family's 1533-position model. The record is from RNAcentral.
GAUGAACGCUGGCGGCGUGCCUAAUACAUGCCAGUCGAGCGAACGGACGAGAAGCUUGCUUCUCUGAUGUUAGCGGCGGACGGGUGAGUAACACGUGGAUAACCUACCUAUAAGACUGGGAUAACUUCGGGAAACCGUAGCUAAUACCGGAUAAUAUUUUGAACCGCAUGGUUCAAAAGUGAAAGACGGUCUUGCUGUCACUUAUAGGUGGAUCCGCGCUGCAUUAGCUAGUUGGUAAGGUAACGGCUUACCAAGGCAACGAUGCAUAGCCGACCUGAGAGGGUGAUCGGCCACACUGGAACUGAGACACGGUCCAGACUCCUACGGGAGGCAGCAGUAGGGAAUCUUCCGCAAUGGGCGAAAGCCUGACGGAGCAACGCCGCGUGAGUGAUGAAGGUCUUCGGAUCGUAAAACUCUGUUAUUAGGGAAGAACAUAUGUGUAAGUAACUGUGCACAUCUUGACGGUACCUAAUCAGAAAGCCACGGCUAACUACGUG